Small nucleolar RNA from Nymphaea colorata (pocket water lily), 128 nucleotides. Lineage: Eukaryota; Viridiplantae; Streptophyta; Magnoliopsida; Nymphaeales; Nymphaeaceae. The record is from RefSeq and is a predicted model, not a curated record.
ACCAAUUUUGGGAAGACACUCACCAUUCUUCCCAAUGUAAUGGCUCGGGCGCUACAGUGGAACGCGUGGCUAUCCUGAAUUGUGGCUUUUCUAAAGGUGCCAUUGUUCUGGAAACACCACCAACAUGC